Molecule: long non-coding RNA, 716 nt
Organism: Alexandromys fortis (reed vole)
Lineage: Eukaryota; Metazoa; Chordata; Mammalia; Rodentia; Cricetidae
Exons: 4
Source: RefSeq, a predicted model, not a curated record
UGCUGGGAGAAAGAAGCUGAGUCAGAGAGUCGCCAUGAUUCUCCCACUCCAGGCAGAUGCAGGUUAAGAUCUUUCCUGGUCCCAAAAGCUCAAUUACAGGACGAUCUCUAAGAAACCUCAGACACACUCACAUUUCAGCGAAAACGCUGGGGAUUGGCGAGUUCAAGUGUUUCAGCCUAAUACGAGAUGGCCCUCACCCAACUGCCUGCCACCAGUCGCCAGUGCCUUUCUGGGCAUGACUGCUGCCAGCUUCCUCAAGGGAAAGGCAUGCCUGAACAGUCUUCCGUCAACAGGGGAUCCAAGGAGAACUCAGAGGAAGUUACUCCCUCUGGUGGUGACCACGGAACAGCACAGGCCAACCUCAAAUACCUCUCUCUACUGGGUUAAUUACGACUGCGGUGGGAAUUUCAUGCCUCGCCAGUCAAGAUGCGCAACAGAGGAAAAGUACUGGGCCUUCCCGAGCUGGUCAGGGUCCAGUUUCUCCCUCCGAGUUAACCAGGUCUGACUGCCCAUCCUCUGAGAUGAGCCAGGGCGCUGUGGUCGCCGACGGGCGCAGUCUCCCCGCUCCUUUCAGAAGCUCAGUGACAGGUAUCGACUCUCCGGAGCUCCACGGCCGCCAACUAGGCAGUUUAUGUAAGCUGCGGAGGCAUUCUUUUAUGAAGGUGAACUUCAAAAGAAAACCAAACAAGAACGCCUUAAUAAACACCUGUUUUCUG